Molecule: ribosomal RNA, 253 nt
Filed under: uncultured bacterium
Lineage: Bacteria
Description: partial 16S ribosomal RNA
Rfam family: Bacterial small subunit ribosomal RNA
Source: RNAcentral
UACGUAGGGGGCAAGCGUUGUCCGGAAUCCUUGGGCGUCAAGAGCGUGUAGGCGGCCCGUUAAGUCCGCUGUGAAAGUCCAGGGCUCAACCCUGGGAUGCCGGUGGAUACUGUCGGGCUCGAGUCCGGAAGAGGAGUGUGGAAUUCCUGGUGUAGCGGUGAAAUGCGCAGAUAUCAGGAGGAACACCGGUGGCGAAGGCGGAUCUCUGGGCCUUACCUGACGCUCAGGUGCGAAAGCUAGGGGAGCGAACAGG